CAUCCUGGGAGGAAAGGCGGGCGAUUCGGGAGCUGGGGCUCUGAGGCCUCCCGGCAGCGGAAGUGAAGCGGGAUUUCGCGGCGCGGUGGCCGCUGCGUGAGGCUCGCUGUGGGGUGGCUUCCCCUGUCCUCCUCUCCACGACUUCCCGUUCGUUCAUGUCCACGAUGCUUGGCGCUCUGCCCGGCUCUGGGGAUGAACCGACUGGGCUCAAUACCUAACUUCAAGGAGCUCGUUGUAUCCCGGGAAAAACAAAACCGGCCAGAGAAUACAAUACAGAGUGGUGUUCGUGGAAAAACAGGUGUUACUCCCGUUCGCAGGAGCGACUCAGAGUUACCUUGGAACCAAAAAUGUCGCCCCAAAUCUGCCUACGCUUCACCCUUCCACCCCGCUGCAGCACUUUCUGGGAAUUUUAAGAAACUUCCCCCGCCCCGUGUGAAAUUUUGGUUUUCAAAAAUAGAACAGCGCAAAUCCUCCCUCUCCUUGCACGUGGUGCUUCGGAGCUCAAGUUAAACAGCACUGAAAGAGCACCUGCCAGUCUCCAGCUCAGCUGGAGGGUGGGGAGGUGGCUGGAGACAUGACCUUCCAGGCACUGAGGCUCUGUAGUGGGAGUCUUCGUGUUUCCACCUCAUGCUUCCAAAAAGACGGUCAAGGCCAGAGUCAGGGAAGAGUCAUGGAGAAGGGUGAAAACCCGAGACAGCCUGAGGAGGAGAGGCAGCUGACAUCCGCCCGGAUGAUGUGUCUACCGAGAAGCACUUCCUGCGCUGAGCACUCUGAUUUGGGAGCACUGAGGAGGGAGACAAGCAUCCAGGGGUAGGACUGGGCAGGGAGGCACAGAAUGAGCUGCGAUGAAUCAUCACCCUGUCCUGUGCCUCUGUCUCCCCCUUGAGCCUUCCCACGAGAUCCCUUCCUGGAGGAACCUACCAAAAGGCUGGUAAAUAAACAUUUUUGGUUCCAAGAACAGCUGGGGAGGGAGGUGCAAGGGUAGCUCCUUCUCAGCCUUCUCCCUGGAGCGAGCCUGGAAGUGCCGAGGGGGGGGCUGGGGUCUGGGGGGGUGGCCCUCCCUCUGGGAAGGCGGGGGUGCUGGCUGACCCACCACUGAAUCCAGGGGUACUCUGGAAUGGCGGUGUAGUAUGGUGUCACUGCCCUGCAGUGUCUAGGCCUUGGUCUGGACCCCAAAGCCCCUCGAGUCUAUGCUGUCCAGGCCUUUGGGAGGCCAGGUCUCAGGCCAGGCCAGCUGCGACCACACAACUUCCUGAGCAGGCCUUUUGCCAUGUCCACUCACGGCACCAAACCCAGAACACAGGUCCGGGGAAGGAGCCAAGAUGGGGACAGAUUUCCUUCCCCCCAACCCCCACCCCCACCCCCCCCCACCAUCUUGGCCCCAAGAGCCCUCAGGAUUCUGGUCUGUCCUGACUCACAUUUUCUAGAACAUCUGUGUCAUAGAAAUGUGUGUGCGCCUCUCUGGCAAUGUUCUUUACUUGCACUUGGAGGUCUGCCUUGCUCUGGAUUCUCUAAUCGGGGGCUCCUGGGGCCGGAACCACAGUGGAGCCCAAGCUCCGGGUGAGGCCCUGUCCUGGGAGGCUGCCUGGCCCCCGGCCCUCCAUAGCCCCCACUCCCUCCCUCCGGGAAGCUGUGAGAGCCACGGGCGCCAGCCAGAAGAGCCCAUUCAUUUUCUCUGCCUGCUCAGCCUUCACAUGUCCUUUUAGGGUAGAGCCUGCCGACGACGCAGCCAGCGGAGGCCAGGCUGCUGGGAGGAACAGACGGGGAGGCCUCAGAGGGGCUCCCCACGGAGGAUGCCUAGCUGCCCUGGGUGGUGAGUCUCCAACUUCCCAGACGUCCUUGUUAGCCUCAAGUUUUGUAACGUCCUCCUUCCUAUCCUAAAAUGAAAUUCCCAGGUAGUUUUUUUUUAAAUUUUUUUUUUAACGUUUAUUUAUUUUUGAGACAGAGAGAGACAGAGCAUGAACGGGGGAGGAGCAGAGAGAGAGGGAGACACAGAAUCGGAAGCAGGCUCCAGGCUCUGGGCCAU
Molecule: long non-coding RNA, 2026 nt
Organism: Acinonyx jubatus (cheetah)
Lineage: Eukaryota; Metazoa; Chordata; Mammalia; Carnivora; Felidae
Exons: 3
Source: RefSeq, a predicted model, not a curated record